Diabrotica virgifera virgifera (western corn rootworm) is the source of this 80-nucleotide non-coding RNA. Lineage: Eukaryota; Metazoa; Arthropoda; Insecta; Coleoptera; Chrysomelidae. The record is from the annotation of a RefSeq genome assembly.
GCCCGGGUAGCUCAGUCGGUAGAGCAUUGAGCAUUGGACUUUUAAUCCAAGGGUCCAGGGUUCAAGUCCCUGCUUGGAUC